GACGAACGCUGGCUACGGGCUUAACACAUGCAAGUCGAACGGAAAGGCCCUGCUUUUGUGGGGUGCUCGGGUGGCGACCGGGUGAGUAACACGAAAGUAACCUGCCCUUGCCUUUGGGAUAACUUCAGGAAACUGGACUUAUUCCUGAUACGUCAUUCCGCCGGCUGGGGGGGGCUGGCAACGUUUCGGCGUUUGGGGAUGCACUCGCGGCUAUUCGGCUGGUUGGCUGGGUGGUGGCUUACCAAGGCUUUGACGGGUAGCGGGCCUGAGAGGGUGACUGGCCACAGUGCGACAGAGAUACGGCACAGAGUCCUACGGGAGGCAGCAGUGGGGACGAGUGCACAAUGGGCGGAAGCAUGAUGCAGCAACGCCGCGCGCGGGAUGACGGCCUGCGUGUUGGAAACCGCAUACGCCUGUGACGAAGCGUGAGUGAAGGUAAUGGGUAAAGAAGCACCGGCUAACUACGUG
Molecule: ribosomal RNA, 468 nt
Filed under: uncultured bacterium
Lineage: Bacteria
Description: partial 16S ribosomal RNA
Rfam family: Bacterial small subunit ribosomal RNA
Source: RNAcentral